UACAGAGGGUGCAAGCGUUAAUCGGAGUUACUGGGCGUAAAGGGCGCGUAGGCGGUUAAAUAAGUGAGAUGUGAAAUCCCUGGGCUUAACCUAGGAACUGCAUCUUAUACUGUUUAACUGGAGUAUUGUAGAGGGUAGUGGAAUUUCCGGUGUAGCGGUGAAAUGCGUAGAGAUCGGGAGGAACACCAGUGGCGAAGGCGGCUACCUGGACCAGCACUGACACUGAGGCACGAAAGCGUGGGGAGCAAACAGG
This 253-nucleotide ribosomal RNA is filed under the name uncultured bacterium. RNAcentral's name for it is "partial 16S ribosomal RNA". It matches the Rfam family "Bacterial small subunit ribosomal RNA", at positions 524 to 776 of the family's 1533-position model. The record is from RNAcentral.